Long non-coding RNA from Peromyscus leucopus (white-footed mouse), 1682 nucleotides. RefSeq lists it as uncharacterized. The transcript has 3 exons. NCBI's taxonomy places the organism in Eukaryota, Metazoa, Chordata, Mammalia, Rodentia, Cricetidae. The record is from RefSeq and is a predicted model, not a curated record.
CCCGAUCGUCCGCCCCCUGCCUCCACCCCGGUGCCCCAACCCCUUCGGAUUUCCCGCCGCCCUGAACUCGGGGCAGCUCGCGAUCCCCGUCGCGCGUUCUUUUGAUCCCCGCCCCAGCUUUUCCCGCGUCCCGGAGGCCUGGCACACAAGGCGCACACUCUGGUUCCUCCCUUCCCCCACCCCCACCCCCCCACCCGAACCCCCACUGAGAUAAUGGGAAUGAUUUCUCCAGAUCUGGUCCCGGAUGAGAUGAAGUGGUUCGUUGACUGCAUGACCUUGGGCAGCCCCCCCACCUCUUUUAUGAUGGAAAGCCAGACACUGUUAAACCCGGGGAUUACCACGAUGAGAGAGAUACAGUGGCCGCUCCCUUGGAGUAAUCUACAACCGACUGCGGAGCCGCGCAGAACCCGACUUUCUGACCAAUGCCUGGGGAUUCUGCUUUCUCCCUUUCUCUUGGGGCUUAGAUGGUAGUUUUUUUUUGGGGGGGGAGGCACCCGGAGGAGUGCCUUCACGGUACGAAGCCACACCUGAAUCAGGUGUGGAACCAGACAGAGUGUCCUUAGAAAGACCGCUGCCAGAUACCUGUGUGAGCAUGGCUGCCAUCUGUAGAUUUCCCAGAAGAUUCCCCUGGGAGAGCCUUUAAGAGAGGCAGUAGACAGAAGUAAAAGGAUGUAGAGAAUCCAGGAGAAUUUAGUCAUAUGUGAAGAUGUUAUGGUAGAGUUCCUGGUGGAGAGGAUUCUGUGCUUUAUACCUCCGAAAAAAAUAUGGCUGAGGAGUUGGGAAUAUGCUGAGUCAUGGGGCUGGGGAGGAAGGGAGGACCCAUGACAUUUAAGGCACAGAUCCCGGGAAACUGAGGUCUUUAUGCUGAGUGCAUUCAGGGUGUGUGAAGGGGCAAGGAAGAAAUUUGAGACCGCCACACAAGACCCUUAGACAUCCUGCCUUAUAAAGGACUCGGAAUGCCAUAAUAGGUCACAGUGGAGAAAAGACAUCAGGGAUCCAUAGAAAUCCCUGAUGGGUGUCAAGCGUGCACUUGGAGACAGACCACUUAAGGGGAUCAGACCGGUAGAGAUGCUCCCAAGUGACACAUGCAGGCUGACUGAUGAGCUACCUGCUUUGGCCGGGUCACCUGGCCGCCAACCGCACACCCCCCUGACCUGAGUUAAACAUUCCCUGCAGCCUGCCAGAGACUGGGUUGCUGCCUUGCCAAGAGCUAUCCUGGUAGGGUUAUUGAAAGAGCUUUGACCCUUUUCAGACUCCGUGAGAAAAAUGAAGCCCAAGAGAGCAGAGACGUGUUUGCCUUUCCUCCGGGGCGGCAGCCAGCUCCUUGCAGCUGGGAGUGUCCAGAGACACUUUCGACAUUCCAGGCAUCCUGUGCCUGCAUGUCUGUCUGUGGGUGCCUCCUGGCGACACCACACCUGAGCCAGAACGACGCUGGAGAUCACUUUUCCCUGUGGCCACUCUUCUGCUCUGGCUGCAGGCAUUUGGCUGGCUGGUGACUUGAGGAUCCUUUACUGGAAUCAUCAUCCUUGUCUUCUCAGAUGGGAGUCUUGGGACUCAUCACAGAAUUCCCUAGCAAGCUGAACUUCUCAUCACCUGAACAGUCCGUGAAAAGGAGUUGGAAUUUCUUCCUCCAUAUGCCCCUUUAUGUCUAGCAGGUGCCUAAUAAAUAUUUCCCAAAUGAA